RNAcentral lists this non-coding RNA (23 nucleotides) under Cricetulus griseus (Chinese hamster). The record is from RNAcentral. Lineage: Eukaryota; Metazoa; Chordata; Mammalia; Rodentia; Cricetidae.
UUUGGCCACGUACAUGCGAAUCU